GGGGAGCGGCAGACGGGUGAGUAACGCGUGGGAAUCUACCCUUUUCUACGGAAUAACGCAGGGAAACUUGUGCUAAUACCGUAUGAGCCCUUCGGGGGAAAGAUUUAUCGGGAAAGGAUGAGCCCGCGUUGGAUUAGCUAGUUGGUGGGGUAAAGGCCUACCAAGGCGACGAUCCAUAGCUGGUCUGAGAGGAUGAUCAGCCACAUUGGGACUGAGACACGGCCCAAACUCCUACGGGAGGCAGCAGUGGGGAAUAUUGGACAAUGGGCGCAAGCCUGAUCCAGCCAUGCCGCGUGAGUGAUGAAGGCCCUAGGGUUGUAAAGCUCUUUCACCGGUGAAGAUAAUGACGGUAACCGGAGAAGAAGCCCCGGCUAACUUCGUGCCAGCAGCCGCGGUAAUACGAAGGGGGCUAGCGUUGUUCGGAAUUACUGGGCGUAAAGCGCACGUAGGCGGACAUUUAAGUCAGGGGUGAAAUCCCGGGGCUCAACCCCGGAACUGCCUUUGAUACUGGGUGUCUAGAGUCCGGAAGAGGUGAGUGGAAUUCCGAGUGUAGAGGUGAAAUUCGUAGAUAUUCGGAGGAACACCAG
Molecule: ribosomal RNA, 587 nt
Filed under: Ensifer fredii
Lineage: Bacteria; Pseudomonadati; Pseudomonadota; Alphaproteobacteria; Hyphomicrobiales; Rhizobiaceae
Description: Sinorhizobium fredii bacterial SSU rRNA
Rfam family: Bacterial small subunit ribosomal RNA
Source: RNAcentral